GGUUAAGUUAGAAAGGGCGCACGGUGGAUGCCUUGGCACUAGGAGCCGAAGAAGGACGGGACUAACACCGAUAUGCUUUGGGGAGCUGUACGUAAGCGUUGAUCCAGAGAUUUCCGAAUGGGGGAACCCACUAUCUUUAGUCGGAUAGUAUCCUUACGUGAAUACAUAGCGUGAGGAAGGCAGACCCAGGGAACUGAAACAUCUAAGUACCUGGAGGACGAGAAAGAAAAAUCGAUUUCCUGAGUAGCGGCGAGCGAAACGGAAAGAGCCCAAACCAAGAAGCUUGCUUCUUGGGGUUGUAGGACACUCUAUACGGAGUUACAAAAGAAAGUUAUAAAUGAAGCGGUCUGGAAAGGCCCGCCAAAGACGGUAACAGCCCGGUAGUUGAAAUGGCUUUCCCUCCAGAGUGGAUCCUGAGUACGGCGGAACACGUGAAAUUCCGUCGGAAUCCGGGAGGACCAUCUCCCAAGGCUAAAUACUCCCUAGUGACCGAUAGUGAACCAGUACCGUGAGGGAAAGGUGAAAAGCACCCCGGAAGGGGAGUGAAACAGUUCCUGAAACCGUGUGCCUACAAGUAGUUAGAGCCCGUUAAUGGGUGAUAGCGUGCCUUUUGUAGAAUGAACCGGCGAGUUACGAUUUGUUGCAAGGUUAAGCGGAAAAAGCGGAGCCGUAGCGAAAGCGAGUCUGAAUAGGGCGCAUAAGUAACAGGUCGUAGACCCGAAACCAGGUGAUCUACCCAUGUCCAGGAUGAAGGUAAGGUAAUACUUACUGGAGGUCCGAACCCACGCACGUUGAAAAGUGCGGGGAUGAGGUGUGGGUAGCGGAGAAAUUCCAAUCGAACUUGGAGAUAGCUGGUUCUCUCCGAAAUAGCUUUAGGGCUAGCCUCGAGGUAAAGAGUCAUGGAGGUAGAGCACUGUUUGGACUAGGGGCCCUUCUCGGGUUACCGAAUUCAGAUAAACUCCGAAUGCCAUGUACUUAUACUCGGGAGUCAGACUGCGAGUGAUAAGAUCCGUAGUCGAAAGGGAAACAGCCCAGACCACCAGUUAAGGUCCCCAAAUAUAUGUUAAGUGGAAAAGGAUGUGGGGUUGCUUAGACAACCAGGAUGUUGGCUUAGAAGCAGCCACCAUUGAAAGAGUGCGUAAUAGCUCACUGGUCGAGUGACCCCGCGCCGAAAAUGUACCGGGGCUAAACAUAUUACCGAAACUGUGGAUGAACCUCUGUAGAGGUUCGUGGUAGGAGAGCGUUCUAAGGGCGGUGAAGUCAGACCGGAAGGACUGGUGGAGCGCUUAGAAGUGAGAAUGCCGGUAUGAGUAGCGAAAGAAGGGUGAGAAUCCCUUCCACCGAAUAUCUAAGGUUUCCUGAGGAAGGCUCGUCCGCUCAGGGUUAGUCGGGACCUAAGCCGAGGCCGAUAGGCGUAGGCGAUGGACAACAGGUAGAGAUUCCUGUACCAGUGCUAAUUGUUUAACCGAUGGGGUGACACAGAAGGAUAGGGAAUCGCACGAAUGGAAAUGUGCGUCCAAGCAGUGAGUGUGAGAAGUAGGCAAAUCCGCUUCUCGCGAAGCAUGAGCUGUGAUGGGGAAGGAAAUUAAGUACGGAAGUUCCUGAUUUCACGCUGUCAAGAAAAGCCUCUAGGAAGAGUAGUACUGCCCGUACCGCAAACCGACACAGGUAGAUGAGGAGAGAAUCCUAAGGUGAGCGAGAGAACUCUCGUUAAGGAACUCGGCAAAAUGACCCCGUAACUUCGGGAGAAGGGGUGCUCUAUUAGGGUGCAAGCCCGAGAGAGCCGCAGUGAAUAGGCCCAGGCGACUGUUUAGCAAAAACACAGGUCUCUGCAAAACCGUAAGGUGACGUAUAGGGGCUGACGCCUGCCCGGUGCUGGAAGGUUAAGAGGAGUGCUUAGCUUCGGCGAAGGUACGAAUUGAAGCCCCAGUAAACGGCGGCCGUAACUAUAACGGUCCUAAGGUAGCGAAAUUCCUUGUCGGGUAAGUUCCGACCCGCACGAAAGGCGCAACGAUCUGGGCACUGUCUCAACGAGAGACUCGGUGAAAUUAUAGUACCUGUGAAGAUGCAGGUUACCCGCGACAGGACGGAAAGACCCCGUGGAGCUUUACUGCAACCUGAUAUGGAAUGUUUGUACCGCUUGUACAGGAUAGGUAGGAGCCGAAGAGACGUGUGCGCUAGCAUACGAGGAGGCAAUGGUGGGAUACUACCCUGGCUGUAUGACCAUUCUAACCCGCCACGCUUAGCGCGUGGGGAGACAGUGUCAGGUGGGCAGUUUGACUGGGGCGGUCGCCUCCUAAAGAGUAACGGAGGCGCCCAAAGGUUCCCUCAGAAUGGAUGGAAAUCAUUCG
Molecule: ribosomal RNA, 2351 nt
Filed under: Listeria monocytogenes
Lineage: Bacteria; Bacillati; Bacillota; Bacilli; Caryophanales; Listeriaceae
Description: partial 23S ribosomal RNA
Rfam family: Bacterial large subunit ribosomal RNA
Source: RNAcentral